Molecule: non-coding RNA, 23 nt
Filed under: Arabidopsis thaliana (thale cress)
Lineage: Eukaryota; Viridiplantae; Streptophyta; Magnoliopsida; Brassicales; Brassicaceae
Source: RNAcentral
AGAGGUGUUGGGUUCGAAGUCUG